CAAUAGCCGCGGGAAUACGGAGGGCGCGAGCGUUACCCGGAUUUACUGGGCGUAAAGGGCGUGUAGGCGGCCUGGGGCGUCCCAUGUGAAAGGCCACGGCUCAACCGUGGAGGAGCGUGGGAUACGCUCAGGCUAGAGGGUGGGAGAGGGUGGUGGAAUUCCCGGAGUAGCGGUGAAAUGCGCAGAUACCGGGAGGAACGCCGAUGGCGAAGGCAGCCACCUGGUCCACUUCUGACGCUGAGGCGCGAAAGCGUGGGGAGCAAACCGGAUUAGAGACCCGUGUAGUCCCUGUCUCUUAUAC
Molecule: ribosomal RNA, 301 nt
Filed under: uncultured bacterium
Lineage: Bacteria
Description: partial 16S ribosomal RNA
Rfam family: Bacterial small subunit ribosomal RNA
Source: RNAcentral